UUCUGGUUGAUCCUGCCGGACCUGACUGCUAUCGGAUUGAUAUUAAGCCAUGCGAGUCUUUGUAGUAAUACAAGGCAGACGGCUCAGUAACGCGUAGUCAACCUACCCUAUGGACGGGAAUAACCUCGGGAAACUGAGAAUAAUACCCGAUAUACCAUCAUGCCUGGAACGGUUGGUGGUUAAAAUGAUUCGUCGCCGUAGGAUGGGACUGCGACCUAUCAGCUUGUUGGUGGGGUAAAGGCCCACCAAGGCGAUUACAGGUACGGGCUCUGAGAGGAGAAGCCCGGAGAUGGGUACUGAGACAAGGACCCAGGCCCUAUGGGGCGCAGCAGGCGAGAAAACUUUGCAAUGUGCGAAAGCACGACAAGGUUAAUCCGAGUGAUUUCUGCUAAAGAAAUCUUUUGCCAGUUCUAAAAAUACUAGUGAAUAAGGGGUGGGCAAGUUCUGGUGUCAGCCGCCGCGGUAAAACCAGCACCUCAAGUGGUCAGGAGGAUUAUUGGGCCUAAAGCAUCCGUAGCCGGCUCUGUAAGUUUUCGGUUAAAUCUAUAUGCUCAACGUAUAGACCGCCGAAAAUACUGCAGUGCUAGGAAGUGGGAGAGGUAGACGGUACUCGGUAGGAAGGGGUAAAAUCCUUUGAUCUAUCGAUGACCACCUGUGGCGAAGGCGGUCUACCAGAACACGUUCGACGGUGAGGGAUGAAAGCUGGGGGAGCAAACCGGAUUAGAUACCCGGGUAGUCCCAGCUGUAAACGAUGCAGACUCGAUGAUGCAUUGGCAUUUAGCCAGUGCAGUGUCGCAGGGAAGCCGUUAAGUCUGCCGCCUGGGAAGUACGUACGCAAGUAUGAAACUUAAAGGAAUUGGCGGGGUAGCACCACAAGGGGUGAAGCCUGCGGUUCAAUUGGAUUCAACGCCGGGA
RNAcentral lists this ribosomal RNA (915 nucleotides) under uncultured marine crenarchaeote. Its description in RNAcentral is "bacterial SSU rRNA". It matches the Rfam family "Archaeal small subunit ribosomal RNA", at positions 1 to 923 of the family's 1478-position model. Lineage: Archaea; Thermoproteati; Thermoproteota. The record is from RNAcentral.